UUAAAUGUGAUUAUUAUUCUCCAUAUAAUUAGCAUCAAUAUUUUCUCUCCCAAACAAAAGAAAAACACUUCCCUCUUCGUUUGGGGUUUUGUAAAGCAAUCGGCGACCGGAACUUUGAAGCUGUUGCCAGACCUCUCUUCUUUAAUUAAGGUCGUUGCCGAUCGUUUUCCGUCAUUAGGAACAAGUAGAGGGACGCCGUCAGUUUUUCAUUGAAGUUCAUCGUUGACUCGCCACAGACUCGCCAACCGGCCAUUCUAUCACAAUAGCAGUCGCUGUCGAAGAGGCCGCCCAAACCUGCUCUCUUCCCCGACGGACACAUCGUUUCGGAAAAGACCGCCAUCGAUGGAGGAUACAACUCGAUCUCGCCGUAGCACCGACCCUGAUUAUGUGGUCGGAAACAACAUACACAAUUCUGAUUCAAGAUCAUAGGUUAGUUUGGUUCCUAACCACAGUUUCCUAUGGUUUCGAAUUUGUUUUUGCUGAGUUGUUACUAAUCCCGAUUUUGUCAAGAGUUGGAUCGAAAUGAUAAGGUUAUUUUAUGAUUCCUCUAUUCUUCUUCAAUAUUGUUAUAGAAUUACGUUUUUAUUUAACAAAUCUUUUAACAUUUCUGAAGCGAUUUUUGCCAUUAGUUAUGGUAUCUGAUUUUGUUUCAAGUUUAGUUUCUGAUUCUGUUUCAAAAGAAAUUCUAAUUUUCGAUUCUGUUUCAGUUUCUUCUGUUUACCUAUGUUAAGAUUGGUGCAAAUUGAUCAUAAAUCUAGUUUUGGUACAUUACGAGCCUAUUAGUUGGGUUUCGGUGCAGAUUGAUCGUUUUCAUAUUUGAUUUGUGCAUGUUGUACCUAAUUUUGAACUUGAUACAUUCAGUUAUGUAUAGUAAUGGAUUCAACGAACUAAGGUUGAUUUUAGUUCGGUUUCAAUUAUAUUUUGACGAACUUCGAUGAUUACGUCUCGGCCUUGACUCUUGUGUUCAAGUCUAUCCAUCAUGCCAGAGUUCUCAUCAUGUUGAAUCAUAUCUGGUAAAUUUAACUACUCAACUAUUUAAUUGUGCUCUUUUCAGUAUAUAUAUGUUGUUCUAUGUCUAGAGUGAGUCAAUAUCUCUAUUAAUAACAUAAUUCAUAUGAUUAUCGUAUAACAUUUGUGAUAUUUGAAACUUUUAAAUUUAUUCUUCCACUGGUUUAUUGUUCCACGAACGAUGCUCUUUAAACUAACUUCUUAAUUGGUGAAGUUCGAUCAUUAAUCAUACUAUUUGCUGAUUUUAAAGUUUGCUUCAGUCAUAAUCUGUUAUUGUUCUAACCAUAUCAUGUCUACGUUAUAUAGUAGAAAACGUCUCAAAAAGCAAAAGGAAUUAGUGAACUGAAGUUAUUAUGUUUCAUUUUUGUGUUUAAAUAUCGAACUGAAGUUUUAGGCAUAUUUUUUUGUUUCAUAAAAGGCAUUCUUCUCUGUUUAUGGGGGAAGUUUAACCAGUUUUAUAUUUUGUUUGGAUCUAGUCAAUAAAAAGAAUUCAUCCUAAACAGUAUGUCUUGUCCCAAUGAUUUUGAAAUUCAAAAUUACUAUAAAUCGAAUGGAACACAACUGAUGUUGUACGAAAGAUAAGUUUUUCUACAAGUUGUUGAAUUAAACAUAGGUGAAUUCCCGUGACAUGUCCCUUUGUACCUCAUUGACUGGAUACUAACAAUUAUAGGUUGUAUGUAGUAAGGUACAUAAACCAUUAUCAUGGGCGGUGUACAACAUACCAGAACCAACAAUGGAGUACUUUUGCCGUUCUUCACAAUGAUAGACUGAAGUAUCUAUUUCGUGUGGUACUUUCUGAUGUAAACAAAACUUGUGGACAAGUUUUGGCGAAAGCUGUCCAAUUCUGCGAGGAGAUGAAAUUGCAAAGAAAGCUCGUAAAGUAAAGAACUUUUUAGCUACUACGCCGCUCUUCUAAGGUUCUUUAACUGUGUUUUACCAGCAUAAUGUCAGAGCCAGUCUCAUCAUNNN
This 1977-nucleotide long non-coding RNA is filed under the name Linum usitatissimum (flax). RNAcentral's name for it is "long non-coding RNA (LUSI_LNC006474)". Lineage: Eukaryota; Viridiplantae; Streptophyta; Magnoliopsida; Malpighiales; Linaceae. The record is from RNAcentral.